This 283-nucleotide ribosomal RNA is filed under the name unidentified marine bacterioplankton. RNAcentral's name for it is "partial 16S ribosomal RNA". It matches the Rfam family "Bacterial small subunit ribosomal RNA", at positions 29 to 339 of the family's 1533-position model. The record is from RNAcentral.
AACGAACGCUGGCGGCAUGCCUAACACAUGCAAGUCGAACGAAGUCUUCGGACUUAGUGGCGCACGGGUGCGUAACGCGUGGGAAUCUGCCUUUGGGUUCGGAAUAACAGUGAGAAAUUACUGCUAAUACCGGAUGAUGUCUUCGGACCAAAGAUUUAUCGCCCAAAGAUGGGCCCGCGUCCGAUUAGCUAGUUGGUGGGGUAAAGGCUCACCAAGGCUCCGAUCGGUAUCCGGCCUGAGAGGGCGGACGGACACACUGGAACUGAGACACGGUCCAGACUCC